GACGAACGCUGGCGGCGUGCUUAACACAUGCAAGUCGAACGAUGAAGAAGAGCUUGCUCUUCGGAUUAGUGGCGAACGGGUGAGUAACACGUGACUAACCUGCCCCUUUCUCCGGGAUAACGCUCAGAAAGGAGUGCUAAUACCGGAUACUCACAUCGAGGCACAUGCCUUGAUGUGGAAAGUUUUUCGGAAAGGGAGGGAGUCGCGGCCUAUCAGCUUGGUGGGGAGGUAACGGCUCACCAAGGCGACGACGGGUAGCCGGCCUGAGAGGGCGACCGGCCACACUGGGACUGAGACACGGCCCAGACUCCUACGGGAGGCAGCAGUGGGGGAUAUUGCACAAUGGGCGAAAGCCUGAUGCAGCGACGCCGCGUGAGGGAUGAAGGUCUUCGGAUUGUAAACCUCUUUCAGUAGGGACGAAGCGAAAGUGACGGUACCUAAAGAAGAAGCACCGGCUAACUACGUGCCAGCCGCCGCAGUAA
RNAcentral lists this ribosomal RNA (482 nucleotides) under uncultured bacterium. RNAcentral describes it as "partial 16S ribosomal RNA". It matches the Rfam family "Bacterial small subunit ribosomal RNA", at positions 28 to 523 of the family's 1533-position model. The record is from RNAcentral.